UAGGGAAUCUUCCACAAUGGACGCAAGUCUGAUGGAGCAACGCCGCGUGAGUGAAGAAGGGUUUCGGCUCGUUAAAGCUCUGUUGUUAAAGAAGAACGUGGGUAAGAGUAACUGUUUACCCAGUGACGGUAUUUAACCAGAAAGCCACGGCUAACUACGUGCCAG
RNAcentral lists this ribosomal RNA (165 nucleotides) under uncultured bacterium. RNAcentral describes it as "partial 16S ribosomal RNA". It matches the Rfam family "Bacterial small subunit ribosomal RNA", at positions 355 to 511 of the family's 1533-position model. The record is from RNAcentral.